RNAcentral lists this ribosomal RNA (325 nucleotides) under uncultured bacterium. RNAcentral describes it as "bacterial SSU rRNA". It matches the Rfam family "Bacterial small subunit ribosomal RNA", at positions 29 to 334 of the family's 1533-position model. The record is from RNAcentral.
AAUGAACGCUGGCGGCGUGCUUAACACAUGCAAGUCGAACGAGAACGGGAUUGCUUGCAAUCCUUAUUAAAGUGGCGCACGGGUGAGUAACACGUGGAUAACCUACCUUUGCUCCGGAACAACAUUGCGAAAGCGAUGCUAAUACCGGAUACGAUUUAAGAAUCUUCGGGAAUUUAAAUGAAAGAUUGCCUCUGCUUGCAUGCAAUUGACAAAAGAUGGGUCCGCGUACCAUUAGCUAGCUGGUGGGGUAAUGGCCUACCAGGGCAACGAUGGUUAGCUGGUCUGAGAGGAUGAUCAGCCACACUGGAACUGACACACGGUCCAG